GAAAAAGCAAUUCUUAAAAGAUUAAAAGAAAAAGACCAUGUCUGUGACCUUGUCAAAAAUAACACUUUCUCAAGUGAUGUUCAGACAUUGUUCUCUACUUCUCCAUCAAGUAAAGAAAGAAAUCGACUUUUAUUUUCUGCUCAGUUUUUACAAGCAGCUAAAGAUGUCAUUUUGUCUGGUGUGUGUAGUGAUGACCUCAUCCAAGCUGCUGUAUUAUGCUCUAAAUAUUACAGAGAUCACAUGAUAGAGGCUAAAUCAGUUCUCAAGGAACUAACAAUGCAGAAACUACUUUACCAUAUCGUGGCUAAAGUACCAUCGCAGUCUCAUCAAGAUGUGAUGUUGGAACUAGGAGAAGAAAUGUAUAUUAUGUUAGAACUGGUUAAAGACAAUGUAGAAGCAGCUACACCCAUGAUUAAUAAUUCUUACAGUCUCUUUUGGAAUAUUGCUGGAGAAUUUGAAAAAAAUGAUUCAUUCAGUGAUUACUCAGUCACGCUUAAACUCCGAAUUCUAGCGUCAAAGUUAUUAUUGUUGAAACCAACCACAACACAGACUAAUAUAGACAAAUUUAACCUAUCUGUGGAACGAUAUGGAUACCUAAUGAAAAAUAAAAAGAUGUGUGUUAUGAAAAAGGAAGUGGAAAUCAAAACUCAUUUUGAAUUGAUUUCUAGUUUUUCAAACAUACUUAUUAAAUCCUCAUCCAACUCAAAGUCUCAUCAUGUUGAUGUGUCCAGAGUAUUAUGCCAUUUAGUAAAACUACUGAUGAAAUUCGAUCUUCAUCAAGAAAUUCUCUCUUAUAUCGAACUUCAGAAUAGCCAGUAUGAUAGCCAUGUGGUCAUAAAACUAUCGCUCAACAUCUUAGCAAUCUUAAAUUUCUUUAAUAUGUCAGCUGAAUCAAAAUAUUUUUCACAUGAAAAACUGCAGGAAUCUUUUGAACUCAUAAA
Molecule: long non-coding RNA, 941 nt
Organism: Patella vulgata (common limpet)
Lineage: Eukaryota; Metazoa; Mollusca; Gastropoda; Patellidae
Exons: 3
Source: RefSeq, a predicted model, not a curated record